GAUCAUGGCUCAGGAUGAACGCUGGCGGCGUGCCUAACACAUGCAAGUCGAACGAAGAUGCCGGAGUGCUUGCACUUUGGCAGACUGAGUGGCGGACGGGUGAGUAACGCGUGGGUAACCUGCCUUAUACAGGGGGAUAACAGUUGGAAACGACUGCUAAUACCGCAUAAGCGCACGGCAUCGCAUGAUACAGUGUGAAAAACUCCGGUGGUAUAAGAUGGACCCGNGU
Molecule: ribosomal RNA, 229 nt
Filed under: uncultured bacterium
Lineage: Bacteria
Description: partial 16S ribosomal RNA
Rfam family: Bacterial small subunit ribosomal RNA
Source: RNAcentral